AUACGUAGGUGACAAGCGUUAUCCGGAUUUACUGGGCGUAAAGGGCGUGUAGGCGGUCUUGCAAGUCAGAAGUGAAAUUCCUGAGCUCAACUCGGGCGCUGCUUCUGAAACUGCAGGACUUGAGUGCUGGAGGGGAUAGCGGAAUUCCUAGUGGAGCGGUAAAAUGCGUAGAUAUCAGAUAGAACACCAAUGGCGAAGGCAGUCAACUGGUCCGUUACUGACGCUAAAGCACGAAAGUGUGGGGAGCGAACAGGAUUAGAUACCCUGGUAGUCCACACCCUAAACGAUGAGUACUAGACGUUGGGCCUUUUAAGGUUCAGUGUCUGAGCUAACGCAUUAAGUACUCCACCUGGGAAGUACGAUCGCAAGGUUGAAACUCAAAGGAAUUGACGGGG
RNAcentral lists this ribosomal RNA (395 nucleotides) under uncultured bacterium. RNAcentral's name for it is "partial 16S ribosomal RNA". It matches the Rfam family "Bacterial small subunit ribosomal RNA", at positions 523 to 918 of the family's 1533-position model. The record is from RNAcentral.